Molecule: ribosomal RNA, 254 nt
Filed under: uncultured bacterium
Lineage: Bacteria
Description: partial 16S ribosomal RNA
Rfam family: Bacterial small subunit ribosomal RNA
Source: RNAcentral
UACGGGGGGAGCAAGCGUUGUUCGAAUUUACUGGGCGUAAAGGGCGCGUAGGCGGCCACCGCAAGUCGAUUGUGAAAUCUCCGGGCUUAACCCGGAAAGGUCAACCGAUACUGCGGGGCUAGAGUGCAGAAGGGGCAACUGGAAUUCUCGGUGUAGCGGUGAAAUGCGUAGAUAUCGAGAGGAACACCUGCGGCGAAGGCGGGUUGCUGGGCUGACACUGACGCUGAUGCGCGAAAGCUAGGGGAGCGAACGGG